RNAcentral lists this unclassified non-coding RNA (104 nucleotides) under Artemisia persica. RNAcentral's name for it is "partial miscellaneous RNA". Lineage: Eukaryota; Viridiplantae; Streptophyta; Magnoliopsida; Asterales; Asteraceae. The record is from RNAcentral.
UAUGGAACCACCGUUGUGUGCUCCGUGCAUUACGUCAAACGCAAAUACGCCCUCUAAUCGAUGUGGACUUGCACGCAUCGGUGGGGCUUGAUAAGACAAUCAAG